UACGUAGGGAGCAAGCGUUGUCCGGAUUUACUGGGUGUAAAGGGAGCGCAGGCGGCACGGCAAGCCUGAUGUGAAAGCCCGCGGCCCAACCGCGGGACUGCAUUGGAAACUGUGUGACUGGAGUGCAGGAGAGGUAAGCGGAAUUCCUGGUGUAGCGGUGAAAUGCGUAGAUAUCAGGAGGAACACCAGUGGCGAAGGCGGCUUACUGGACUGUAACUGACGUUGAGGCUCGAAAGCGUGGGGAGCAAACAGG
This 253-nucleotide ribosomal RNA is filed under the name uncultured Lachnospiraceae bacterium. RNAcentral's name for it is "partial 16S ribosomal RNA". It matches the Rfam family "Bacterial small subunit ribosomal RNA", at positions 524 to 776 of the family's 1533-position model. Lineage: Bacteria; Bacillati; Bacillota; Clostridia; Lachnospirales; Lachnospiraceae. The record is from RNAcentral.